UAAAUUAAAAAAAAAUUUUCAGUUCGCUUGUAAUCCCAAUAAACGCAAAAGAAAAAUAUUUAACAAUGAAACAAUGAGUACAGGAAAUAAUAUCAAAUUGCAACUAUUUUAUAAUCGUAUAUUUUUAAGUAAUGAAUGAUUAUCGUAAUGGUCUUCCAAAGUUGGCGACUUUGCGGAGUGACAGCAACAAUUGUCGUUUAUAUUGGUGGCGUGUUGUUCUUAACGAUGAACAAUGUUCCAGGGUCGCAUCCAAAGCGUGUUCGAUUCGAACAUUUCGCAGAGUUUUCUAAUUACCGAAGUCAGAGGGUUUCUGGUCUUAAUCGAAAGAUGACUAUUAGAUGGUGCAAAGAACUAAAAUACAUGCAAUCUGAGCUUCCAGUAGACACUACAACAUCUGAAUAUAAUACUCCUUAUCAAGUCGAGCCGAGAAUACAGAUGGGAUUAACAGCAUUGGCUUCAUUUCCGGGCAGUGGAAAUACGUGGCUGCGGUAUUUAUUACAACAAUCCACAGGCAUUUUGACUGGAAGUAUAUACAAGGAUUACGGUUUAUUGAAAACGGGCUUCCCAGCUGAAAAUGUUUGUAAUAAUUCAGUAUUGUUGGUGAAAACGCAUGAAUGGGGUCCUAAAGCCUGGGCGUUAUUUUCUAAAGCUUUACUUUUAGUGCGAGACCCAGAAAAAGCCAUUUUAGCUGAAUUUAAUCGACAAAGUGGUGGUCAUGUGGGUUUCGCAUCUCCAGAUCGUUACAAGCGAACUAGAGGCAAAUAUUGGCAACAAUUUGUAGCAAACAAACUGCAUGGUUGGGAGCUUAUGAAUAUUAAUUGGGCUCGAAAUUUCACAGGAAAUAUAAAAAUUAUUUUUUAUGAAGAUUUGGUCAACAAACUCGAACCAGUGUUAAGAAAUAUAUUAGAAUUUCUGGAGUUUCCUAUUAACGAGACCCUUUUGAAUUGUGCACUGGUGAGAAAAGAGGGCAUCUUCCGAAGAAAAAAGCGUAUUUUGUCAUUCGAUCCUUAUACACCAGCAAUGAGAGUUCAAUUGAGAGAAAAAAAACAGUACGUAUAUACAAUAUUGGGACGAUUGAGUUGAGAUGGGAAAAUAAUGUGGUGUAAUAAAUCAAAUUGCUGCAAUGUAAUGUUAGCAUAAAUCCGUUUUAAAACUCUAAUAAAUAUAUAUGCAGAGUAUUUUACUUACACGUUGGCUUACUCACCUAAAUGUUUGCCUUAAUAGGUAAAGGUAAGAAAAGUUUUAACUCCAUAGCAGAACUAAUCAUUUUAUAAUUGGCUCAUUGUGCGUUACAUAAAGCCCACAAACGAAAAGAAAUUUGUUAAAAUUUGAACUAUUUUUCCCUAAACUUUCAGGAGUCGUUCGACGAAAUUUAGACUAUUUGUUAUUUUUUGAGUAAAGGGGAUAUGAUGAAAUGAUUACAAUCGAUAUUGAACAAUACUCGUGAAUCGUUGUCAUUAUAUGUUAUAUUACAUUUCCUAGCGAUAAUAAACAUAUGUAGGCAUAUUAAAAACUUUCAUAUAUCCUAAAAACGUACCACAUAAACGGCUUGCAUAUUUUUCACGACGUUAAAAAAGCUACUUCGGCUCGAGUCGAAUUUUUAAAAUAUUAAUAGCUUCGUUGAAUUUAAUUCCAAAAUAGAACGAUGGUCCCCUAUACAUAACAAACACUAAAAAUUAAACAUAAUAUUUAAAUAAAUCAUUUAAUUCAUAUACAGGCAUUUCUUCAAAUUGAACCCAGGCCGAUUGUUUUUGGCAUCGAAAGUUUAAUAAGGGAAACCUAAAGAAACAUGAAAAGUUUAUAAGUAAGGCUUUGAGGUCAUAAAUUAAGAACGAAAGGAUAUUGUCGAUUAUUUGGGAAUAGUGUAAAGGCCCGUACACCAAAUUCGGGAUGUCCGUUAUGUAGUAUAUGUAAUAAGUAUUUGACGAAUUUGUAAGACACAUUAUUCAAUUAUUGGGUAUAAAUUCAAAUCUUAACAAUUUGACUAAUGUAGAUAAGCUUAUUUUGUCUACUUUUGAUAGCAUUACGUUGGCUCAGACGCUGUUUUCGUUUGCUGGUACCGUGCGAAGUCAUUUUCCAAGGACGUAUAACAACGUAUUUCGAUAUUAUUGACUAAUCUUGGAAAAUUUAUUACAUUAUCAGUCGUAAUACAAUUGAUUUAUCACCAUAAAAAUUGUGAGUUGAAUUGGGCGCAUAUAAUCUAAGUAACAAUAUUAAUACUAAUUUGUAAAUUAAUUUGUUAAAAAGAAAACAAUUUUAUUUUUUAUUAAUAAAUAAUUUACUAAUAUUUACUUCGUAUAUGUACGUAAAUAUAUGAUUAUAGUGGUGAAAUAAAGCACUAACCUAAAUUUUCUGAAUCCAAUAGAUAUUUAUACCUCGACCUGUAUUUAGAAAUAAUAUUGUUGAUUAUCUUAAAAUAAUGAUAUAGUAUAACUUUUUUGAGAAGCUGGGCAAAGGAUCAGAGAAAACUUUUUUAUAUGCAGUCAAUAACUAAUUUAAAUAAUCUGCAACUCUACUAGUGCAUGCCCCAGCCGAUUCGAACACAGGCAGUGUGAAUAAUCGAAGAUGUGGUGGUGCGACCGAUCGAUAUAUUGUGAAAAAAUAUAAAUAAAAAUAUAU
Glossina fuscipes is the source of this 2619-nucleotide RNA transcript. It is a transcript of the gene named WSCD family member GA21586, with no coding region annotated. The transcript has 8 exons. The record is from RefSeq and is a predicted model, not a curated record. NCBI's taxonomy places the organism in Eukaryota, Metazoa, Arthropoda, Insecta, Diptera, Glossinidae.